Papaver somniferum (opium poppy) is the source of this 1889-nucleotide long non-coding RNA. RefSeq lists it as uncharacterized. NCBI's taxonomy places the organism in Eukaryota, Viridiplantae, Streptophyta, Magnoliopsida, Ranunculales, Papaveraceae. The transcript is spliced from 4 exons. The record is from RefSeq and is a predicted model, not a curated record.
AGAAAUAGCUUCUUCCUCUUUGCUACUGUUUUAGUUUCUCUGUAACUAUUGCAUUUUCUUCAUAAAUCUCUGCCAAGCUCUUAGAGUGCUCUCUUUAUAUGUUACAUUGAGGGGUACUAUCAGUAGUUGUAUCUUGGAGGUGACUUGACAACUGUUAUAGCAUCUCUCUUUCCAGAGGAGUAGCAGGCAAUAGUACCUUUAGGUCAGGAUAUCUCAUAGUGCCUCUACUAGUUCCUGCUACCAUUUUCGGUGCAUCUCCAGGAACUUAUUAGGAUUGUUGUUACUGUCUCCAACAAUUUCUUCAUGAAGAUCGUAAUUCUUCCUUAUCCACCGAAGCUAAAACUUCAUAUUCAAUUUCUUCGUCUUCUUGCUUUUGAUCGUUAAACAUGGAACACGCGGGAUCCAUUUUUGAGGAUUAUUUUGUGAAUCAUGGGGAUGUUCUCCAUGAUUGUGAAUUUCGGUUUAGUUUAGUUCCGAAGGAAGAUCAAUCAGAAAAUUUGAUGAACAUUAAUCAAAUUACGGAUGUAGGUAUUUCCAAAUUACAAAAAGACAAUAACGAACAUCGAAUGGUUGACAUCAUGUACUCACGGAGAUUGAACAUUGUUAGGCUAAAUGAACUCAAAACUUACUCUGAUUUAUACAGCCAUCUGCCAAUGCCACUCAGCUUCACACACGUAUUUAUGUAAAGAAUCACCAAAAAAGUAUGAUACAGAAACUAAUAUCUUUAUAUAUUUUGUUCAGAUUAAUAUGUUUUCCAGCCGUAUGACAACCUUCAUCUAACCUAGGCAUGGGUGUGCAAAUACAUUAAGUGUUUUAAUGUACUGAUGUUGUCAUGCGAUAUUCUUUAGUGAUUUUUUCUUCUUCUUUGUCUAAGUGACCAGCUGCAGUAUGGAGGGGUAUAAGUAGUGAAGUACAUUUUGUAUUCAGCGAUGUGGAAUAACCCAUAAGGAGAAGAAUACAGGGACACGACGUUUUGUGAUUCAUUGUAAGCCGGGCUUCUUCGUUUCAAAGAAGUAAAUGGGAGGAUAAAAUCGUGCCCGCAAGGCAACAAGCAAGGGCAAACGGCAAGUCAACAGAAGGGUUUGAGGUCGCUUGGACGUAUGGAGAGUGAAAUCGGGAUAUGACUCCAACAGUCCAUGUGGACAUCGUAAGUAUGAGGCGGUAUGUAUACUUCUCUUCUGUUUCAGAAAUUGCUUACAAUUUUUACUCCCACAUAUGAUUGAGUCACAAAAUGUUAUACCGUGUACGUUUCAAAAUAAGGAGAACAAUACAGGGACACGGCGUUUUGUGAUUCAUUGUAAGCUGAGCUUCUUCGUUUCAAAGAAGUAAAUGGGAGGAUAAAAUCGUGCCCGCAAGGCAAUCAAGCAAGGGCAAAAGGAAAGUCAACAGAAGGGUUUGAGGUCGCUUGGACGUAUAGAGAGUGAAAUCAUGGAUAUGACUCCAACAGUCCGUGUGGACAUUGUAAGUAUGAGCCGCUGCGAAGGUUCACACCAAACUCAUAUAUUUCUCUCAAAGAACUAUUUUAAGCAAGAUCAGUGACAGCACAGGAAACUCAAUUAUGACCGCAGGAUUGAGGCUUUGGCUCUCUUACAUCCGUUCCUGUUAGUUCAUCACCAGCCAUAAUAUUUAUCCAACUGAGUGUAGUUCAAAACUAUACUCAUCUUCAAGGAUAUGGCUUCGGCUGAUGAUGAAGCAUUUGAGGACGUGGGUUCUUUGCAAAGAUGAGUUUCUUCGAUUAUGAAUGUAUUAUGUUCUUGCGACUGAUAAUUUCGGCUCUGAUUUUUUUCUUUUAAUUGUUUUUUUCUCUUGAGAUUUACAGUCCAUUUAAGUUUGUUUCUUUGGAAUGCAACUCAAAGUAGUUUGGGUAUAAUGGUGUUGAUUAUUUGCAA